CGGGAUAACUCGGCGAAAGCCGUGCUAAUACCGGAUACUCCAUCCUCUUCGCAUGAAGAGGUUGGGAAAGCCUUUACGGUAAGGGAUGGGGUCGCGGCCCAUCAGGUAGUUGGCGGGGUAACGGCCCACCAAGCUUACGACGGGUAGCCGGGUUGAGAGACCGACCGGCCACAUUGGGACUGAGAUACGGCCCAGACUCCUACGGGAGGCAGCAGUGGGGAAUUUUGCGCAAUGGGGGAAACCCUGACGCAGCAACGCCGCGUGCGGGAUGACGGCCUCCGGGUUGUAAACCGCUUUCAGUAGGGAAGAACAUCGACGGUACCUACAGAAGAAGCCCCGGCUAACUACGUGCCAGCAGCCGCGGUAAUACGUAGGGGGCAAGCGUUAUCCGGAUUCAUUGGGCGUAAAGCGCGCGUAGGCGGUUGCCUAAGCGGGACCUCUAAUCUUAGGGCUCAACCUUAAGCCGGGUCCCGAACUGGGUGACUUGAGUGCGGUAGAGGAAAGUGGAAUUCCCGGUGUAGCGGUGGAAUGCGCAGAUAUCGGGAAGAACACCGAUGGCGAAGGCAGCUUUCUGGGCCGCCACUGACGCUGAGGCGCGAAAGCUAGGGGAGCAAACAGGAUUAGAUACCCUGGUAGUCCUAGCCGUAAAC
RNAcentral lists this ribosomal RNA (650 nucleotides) under uncultured bacterium. Its description in RNAcentral is "bacterial SSU rRNA". It matches the Rfam family "Bacterial small subunit ribosomal RNA", at positions 139 to 807 of the family's 1533-position model. The record is from RNAcentral.